ACAAAGCUGACACCCAGGUUCUGCUCCCCAGGGGCACAGUCUGAGUCUGCCCAGAGCAAGAUGCUGAGCGGCAUUGGGGGCUUUGUGCUGGGGCUCAUCUUCCUCGGGCUGGGCCUUUUCGUCCGUCACAGAAAUCAGAAAGGACCUCGAGGGCCUCCUCCAGCAGGGCUUCUACAGUGAUUCCUGGUGUUCUGGCUGAGUUGACUGUCACACUAUAAAGCUUGUCCCUGUCCUCAGUUCCUGUCUGUGCCAGCCUGCCUGUCCCUCUCUGAUUCAGAGUCUAGCAUGGUUCCAGUAUACCCACCAGUUCAGCCUUUGUGAUCCCUGACUCCCCAAGGCUCUGUCUUUGCCUCUGCUCCUGGACUGAUUCUAGAGACUCUAUCUGUAUACUGCAGCACCAUCUACCCAGACCCCAGGCCUUCUGUUUCCACUGUCCCAUGGGGCUGCUGAAGAGAUGUUGAAAACAUUCACCUUUUUCAUAAUUAAACAUGU
Long non-coding RNA from Alexandromys fortis (reed vole), 492 nucleotides. RefSeq lists it as uncharacterized. Lineage: Eukaryota; Metazoa; Chordata; Mammalia; Rodentia; Cricetidae. The transcript has 3 exons. The record is from RefSeq and is a predicted model, not a curated record.